RNAcentral lists this ribosomal RNA (492 nucleotides) under uncultured bacterium. RNAcentral describes it as "partial 16S ribosomal RNA". It matches the Rfam family "Bacterial small subunit ribosomal RNA", at positions 29 to 507 of the family's 1533-position model. The record is from RNAcentral.
AGUGAACGCUGGCGGUAGGCCUAACACAUGCAAGUCGAACGGCAGCACAGUAAGAGCUUGCUCUUACGGGAGGCGAGUGGCGGACGGGUGAGGAAUACAUCGGAAUCUACUUUUUCGUGGGGGAUAACGUAGGGAAACUUACGCGAAUACCGCAUACGACCUACGGGUGAAAGCAGGGGAUCUUCGGACCUUGCGCGAGUGAAUGAGCCGAUGUCGGAUUAGCUAGUUGGCGGGGUAAAGGCCCACCAAGGCGACGAUCCGUAGCUGGUCUGAGAGGAUGAUCAGCCAGACUGGCACUGAGAAACGGCCCAGACUCCUACGGGAGGCCGCAGUGGGGAAUAUUGGACAAUGGGGGAAAGCCUGAUCCAGCCAUACCGCGUGGGUCAAGAAGGCCUUAGGGUUGUAAAGCCAUUUUGUUGGGAAAGAAAAGCAGCAGGUUAAUACGCCGCUGUUCUGACGGUACCCAAAGAAUAAGCACCGGCUAACUUCGUG